RNAcentral lists this non-coding RNA (129 nucleotides) under uncultured Methanobrevibacter sp. RNAcentral's name for it is "FMN riboswitch (RFN element)". It matches the Rfam family "FMN riboswitch aptamer (RFN element)". Rfam says of the family: The RFN element is a highly conserved domain that is found frequently in the 5'-untranslated regions of prokaryotic mRNAs that encode for flavin mononucleotide (FMN) biosynthesis and transport proteins. The record is from RNAcentral. Lineage: Archaea; Methanobacteriati; Methanobacteriota; Methanobacteria; Methanobacteriales; Methanobacteriaceae.
UACUCUCAGGGCGGGGCGAAAUUCCCCACCGGUGGUGAUUUUUAAUAAAAAUAAGUCCACGAGCACAAAGAAAAGUGUUGAUUUGGUGAAAGUCCAAAACCGACGGUGAUAGUCCGGAUGGAAGAGAAG